GGUCAACUUGAACACUGGUUCUUCAGAUCCUUAGCUGCUUGUCUCGGGGAAGCUUGCAAUGAUACCUUCUCUCUAGCAAGCACAAGGAUGCCAUUACCAUUUAUCCUCACCAGGAGUCCAAUGAUGGGAUCAAUGGUGGAUUCUUGGCCUCCAGAACUGCGAGCUAAAUAAAUCUCUUUGCAAAAAGUAAAUAAAUAAAUAAAUAAAUAAAAUAAAUAAAUCUCUUUGCGUCA
This is a non-coding RNA of Peromyscus maniculatus bairdii (prairie deer mouse), 233 nucleotides long. Lineage: Eukaryota; Metazoa; Chordata; Mammalia; Rodentia; Cricetidae. The record is from RefSeq and is a predicted model, not a curated record.